RNAcentral lists this long non-coding RNA (3460 nucleotides) under Salmo salar (Atlantic salmon). RNAcentral's name for it is "lncRNA (ENSSSAG00000101347.1)". Lineage: Eukaryota; Metazoa; Chordata; Actinopteri; Salmoniformes; Salmonidae. The record is from RNAcentral.
CUCACAGACAGGAAGACAGUGAGCAGCACCUGUGUAACCUCACAGACAGGAAGACAGUGAGCAGCACCUGUGUAACCUCACAGACAGGAAGACAGUGUUCAACGUGCUUCAUUCAGAACAACCUUUGGUCCGACAGAAAACAACAUUCAUUCAAACCAUUAUGCAACCUCUCUGUUGGAGUUAGAGGCUGGGGACGAUGUUGACAGUGGAACACUUUGUAACCUCCGGACUAAACUGUUGCUGUUAGCAGGUACUAUGUCUUUUUGUAACACUGUCUAUGGGUUGUUUAGAACAAACAGUGGGACCUCUAAGAUGAUAGAGGGAGAGAGAGACACGGGACCAGAACAGGACAGUUCUUUUGUGUCAGUGUUUUUGGAGGAAAUGUAAAGGAUACAUUUUAUACAAAAGUGAAGCCGCUUCAAAUACCCAAAACCCCUUGUCCCCUGAGCCUUCCCAAUCCCAAACAUAUACCCAGCCCUGCCCAGCCUCUACACUCACGUCACCUGGUCUAACCUAUUCAUGACAGGAUAUACCCAGCCCUGCCCAGCCUCUACCCUCGCUUCACCUGGUCUAACCUAUUCAUGACAGGAUAUACCCAGCCCUGCCCAGCCUCUACCCUCACUUCACCUGGUCUAACAUAUUCAUGACAGGUCUAACCUAUUCCUGACAGGUCUGGUCUAACCUAUUCCUGACAGGUCUGGUCUAACCUAUUCCUGACAGGUCUGAUCUAACCUAUUCCUGACAGGUCUGGUCUAACCUAUUCCUGACAGGUCUGAUCUAACCUAUUCAUGACAGGUCUGGUCUAACCUAUUCAUGACAGGCCAGGUCUAACCUAUUCAUGACUGGUCUAACCUAUUCAUUACAGGUCUGGUCUAACCUAUUCAUGACAGGUCUAACCUAUUCAUGACAGGUCUAACCUAUUCAUGACAGGUCUGGUCUAACCUAUUCAUGACAGGUCUGGUCUAACCUAUUCAUGACAGGUCUGGUCUAACCUAUUCCUGACAGGUCUGGUCUAACCUAUUCCUGACAGGUCUGGUCUAACCUAUUCAUGACAGGUCUGGUCUAACCUAUUCAUGACAGGUCUGGUCUAACCUAUUCCUGACAGGUCUAACCUAUUCAUGACAGGCCAGGUCUAACCUAUUCAUGACAGGCCAGGUCUAACCUAUUCAUGACAGGCCUGGUCUAACAUAUUCAUGACAGGCCAGGUCUAACCUAUUCAUGACAGGCCUGGUCUAACCUAUUCAUGACAGGCCAGGUCUAACCUAUUCAUGACAGGCCAGGUCUAACCUAUUCAUGACAGGCCUGGUCUAACCUAUUCAUGACAGGCCAGGUCUAACAUAUUCAUGACAGGCCAGGUCUAACCUAUUCAUGACAGGCCUGGUCUAACCUAUUCAUGACAGGCCAGGUCUAACCUAUUCAUGACAGGCCUGGUCUAACCUAUUCAUGACAGGUUUGGGUAAAUAACAGGAGAAAUGUGAUGACUAAAACACCAGAGAACUGGGGAGAAAAUAGGAGUCAACGUCAUAAACUGACUGACAUACAAUGAGUGUACAAAACAUUAAGAACACCUUCCUAAUAUUGACUUGCACCCUUUUGCCCUCAGAACAGCCUCAAUUUGUCGGGGUAUGGACUCUACAAGGUGUUGAAAGCGUUCCACGGGGAUGCAGUUGUGUCAAGUCAGCUGGAUGUCCUUUGGUUGGUUAACCAUUCUUGAUACACACGGGAAACUGUUGAGCGUGAAAAACCCAGCAACGUUGCAGUUCUUGACACAACGGUGCGCCCAGCACCUACUACCAUACCCUGUUCAAAGACACAUUUUUCUUGCCCACUCACCCUCUGAAUGUCCCACAUACACAAUCCAUGUCUCAAUUGUCUCAAGUCUUAAAAAUCCUUCUUUAACCUGUCCUUCACUGAUUGAAAUGGAUUUAACAAGUGACAUCAAUAAGGGAUAAUAGCUUUCACCUGGUCAGUCUAGGGGUGGCAGGUAGCCUAGUGGUUAGAGCGUUGGACUAGUAACCAAAAGGUUGCAAGAUCGAAUCCCUGAGCUGACAAGGUACAAAUCUGUCGUUCUGCCCCUGAACAAGGCAGUUAACCCACUGUUCCUAGGCCGUCAUUGAAAAUAAGAAUUUGUUCUUAACUGACUUGCCUAGUUAAAUAAAAGUAAAACGUAAUGGAAAGAACAGGUGUUUUUGUACACUCAUAAUGUUUUGUACACUCAGUGUAUAUGUAAAUAAAUGAAAUGUAUACACACAUUGAAAUGAAUUUCAAACCCAUUGAAGUGAAUGUAAUGUAUUUCAACACAGGGUAUUACAUUUGUAAAAAUGAAUCAAUCACUCACCACCAGCAUUUACUACAGGACUGAGUUCACGUCUCCGUGUUUCACAGCUGUGUUGUGAUUGGAUACGUUUUGCAGUUCUGGGCUCUCAUUGGAUGAUUUUGCCAGUUGUGGGCUUUCAUCUCACCCUGUGUCACUUGUUCUCAUUGAGUUAUUUGUUGUAAAUUGUCGCCAGCUGUUACUGUGUUAGACUGUCCUAUUAGGUCUCUGUUCUGUCUGUCACUCUGUCAGACUGUCCUAGCAGGACUCUGUUCUGACUGUCACUCUGUCAGACUGUCCUAGCAGGUCUCUGUUCUGACUGUCACUCUGUCAGACUGUCCUAGCAGGUCUCUGUUCUGUCUGUCACUCUGUCAGACUGUUCUAGCAGGACUCUGUUCUGUCUGUCACUCUGUCAGACUGUCCUAGCAGGACUCUGUUCUGACUGUCACUCUGUCAGACUGUUCUAGCAGGUCUCUGUUCUGACUGUCACUCUGUCAGACUGUUCUAGCAGGUCUCUGUUCUGACUGUCACUCUGUCAGACUGUUCUAGCAGGACUCUGUUCUGACUGUCACUCUGUCAGACUGUCCUAGCAGGACUCUGUUCUGACUGUCACUCUGUCAGACUGAUCUAGUAGGACUCUGUUCUGACUGUCACUCUGUCAGACUGUCCUAGCAGGACUCUGUUCUGUCUGUCACUCUGUCAGACUGAUCUAGUAGGACUCUGUUCUGACUGUCACUCUGUCAGACUGUCCUAGCAGGACUCUGUUCUGUCUGUCACUCUGUCAGACUGUCCUAUUAGGUCUCUGUUCUGUCUGUCACUCUGUCAGACUGUCCUAUUAGGUCUCUGUUCUGUCUGUGACUCUGUCAGACUGUUCUAGCAGGACUCUGUUCUGACUGUCACUCUGUCAGACUGUCCUAGCAGGUCUCUGUUCUGACUGUGCUAGCAGGACUCUGUUCUGACUGUCCUAGCAGGUCUCUGUUCUGACUGUCCUAGCAGGUCUCUGUUCUGACUGUCCUAGCAGGUCUCUGUUCUGACUGUCCUAGCAGGUCUCUGUUCUGACUGUCCUAGCAGGUCUCUGUUCUGACUGUCCUAGCAGGUCUCCACAGCAUUCUGGGAGUACUGUUCUGUCUGUAAAGUCAAAUCCCC